RNAcentral lists this ribosomal RNA (484 nucleotides) under uncultured bacterium. RNAcentral's name for it is "partial 16S ribosomal RNA". It matches the Rfam family "Bacterial small subunit ribosomal RNA", at positions 30 to 507 of the family's 1533-position model. The record is from RNAcentral.
AGUGAACGCUGGCGGCAGGCCUAACACAUGCAAGUCGAGCGGCAGCGGGUCCUUCGGGAUGCCGGCGAGCGGCGGACGGGUGAGGAAUGCAUCGGAAUCUGCCCUGUUGUGGGGGAUAACCUAGGGAAACUUAGGCUAAUACCGCAUACGACCCACGGGUGAAAGCGGGGGAUCGCAAGACCUCGCGCGAUAGGAUGAGCCGAUGUCCGAUUAGCUAGUUGGCGGGGUAAAGGCCCACCAAGGCGACGAUCGGUAGCUGGUCUGAGAGGAUGAUCAGCCACACUGGGACUGAGACACGGCCCAGACUCCUACGGGAGGCAGCAGUGGGGAAUAUUGGACAAUGGGCGCAAGCCUGAUCCAGCCAUGCCGCGUGGGUGAAGAAGGCCUUCGGGUUGUAAAGCCCUUUUGUCCGGGAAGAAAUCGUCUGGGCUAAUACCCCGGGCGGAUGACGGUACCGGAAGAAUAAGCACCGGCUAACUUCGUG